This 264-nucleotide ribosomal RNA is filed under the name uncultured archaeon. Its description in RNAcentral is "partial 16S ribosomal RNA". It matches the Rfam family "Archaeal small subunit ribosomal RNA", at positions 717 to 982 of the family's 1478-position model. The record is from RNAcentral.
ACACGACUACAUUAGAUACCCCCGUAGUCCAGGGUGUAAACGCUGCGGGCUUGGUGUUGGGGGUCCUUAGUGGGCGCCCAGUGCCGGAGAGAAGUUGUUAAGCCUGCUGCCUGGGAGUACGGCCGCAAGGCUGAAACUUAAAGGAAUUGGCGGGGGAGCACAACAACGGGUGGAGCUUGCGGUUUAAUUGGAUUCAACGCCGGAAAUCUUACCGGGACCGACAGCAACAUGAAGGCCAAGCUGAAGACUUUGCCGGAUUAGCUG